Long non-coding RNA from Anolis carolinensis (green anole), 3437 nucleotides. RefSeq lists it as uncharacterized. Lineage: Eukaryota; Metazoa; Chordata; Lepidosauria; Squamata; Anolidae. The transcript has 2 exons. The record is from RefSeq and is a predicted model, not a curated record.
UGGAGGUCAUACCCUGGAUGUUUUGGUGUAUUGUGGCCAAAUUAGGUGUGAUUUGGCCCAAUGGUUUUGUUGUUAACUCGAUCCUGCAAAUGAAUAGUACAUUUUUAUAUAUAGAUAAAUGGAGGGAGGGGGAAGGGGAGACAUAGGAAUGCAUGGUGGAGAGAAAAGGGAAGACAUGGAGACACAAACAUGCAUGUGGAAGAGAAGGGAAUGCAGGGGCACAAAGGAGAAAAGGAAAGGCAAGAAGACACACACAUGCACAUGAGGGAGAGAAGGAAAUUUGAGCUCAAAUACAAUUACAGUGACCCCAUUUAGGGUCCUGACCUAUAGUUUAAGAAACACUGUUAUACAUAGUAUAUAUUUUCUCCAAUUUAUAUCAGCUGUCACCAUAGGUGGCAUGAUGGUAUUCCUCAGGCAUAUUGCAGCUUGGUAAAUGAGUAUAUCAGCUACAGCCAUUCUUACUUUUUCAGUUUUCCCACACACACACACACUGCCUUAUGUAAAUGAACGAACAUGAACAAAAGCUUAUUCAGGCUUUUGCUCAUGUUAUAUUAUUGUUAUUUUCCAAUUCCAUGCAUUCAGCUUCAGCAUAUGAUAAACUUGUGAAUGAGAGGUCUUCAUGGCCAUGUUCAAGUUUCACAAACUGAUUGCCAUGGCUUUCUGGAGAGAACCAAUCCCUUUGCAAUGUGGUCUACCUCUUUUCCAACUGACUUCCACUUAACAGGGCAUUACUAGUUUUUCCAAUGAGUUGUCCAAAAUACCAUAUACUUAUUUCAGUCACUUUGGCUUAUAGUGAGAAUCAGUCUUGAUACGAUCUUGGAUCAAUUUAUCUACCUUUCUUGGCAGUCCAUAAAGUACAUAGAAUUCACCUCCAGCAUCACAUUUAAGAUGAAUUCAUUCUCUCACUAUUUGAUUUCCACAUUGUUCUUAUUUCACAACCAUGUAUGAACAUUAGAAAGAUGAUGGCAUAGAUGAGUUGGACUUGCAACUUCAGCAUCCUAGGACACUUUCACGCCAUCUGGAGGAUGGAGGUCAAUGCAGGACAUCAUAUGACAUUGUGUUACUUCCAGCAUAGGCGUCGCCCUCUACUAGGUUGAAAGUGUCACUGAACGCUUUCAGCCCAACAUGGGAGGCUUCCUGUGUUGCACUGGUUCCAGUGGAGUUAGUACGUGGCCUCCCUGUGAGGGCAACACUUUCCACAUUUGAUGGGGAAAGCAUUGUAAAGAGGGAAUAGUGUGCGGGGCAACAGAUUCACCCCAUUGCUCCCUCUUUCCUUGUGGAAGCCUUCUGAUAAAGUCAUUGGUUUUUGAUGGCAUAUUUUUGCCCUUGAAGAUGAUUCCUAUUUCUUUCAUAACUUUCCUUCCAUAUCAUAGUCUUCUUCUGGUUUUUUGACUUCCCAGUCCAUUCUCCCACACAAUCCGUCCCUUAGGACACUGAGGUCCUCCGGGAGAUCAUUACUUCAACCAGCCAGAACCUGACUUGCAACUGUCACCCAGAGGGCCUUUUCAUCAGCUGUUCCAUGACUGUACAGUGAUCUGUCAGAAAAGAUCCAAUAUCUAAACAAGCCACUGGAAAUGAAGACACACCUGAAGACCCAUCUCUUCUGGCAGGCCUACCCAGUCAACUUUGAAUUCUGAGUUUUGAAUUUGCAUUCUAUUUAUGCUAUAUGAUUAUUUUUGUAACUUGUGUUUGGUGCAUGUUUUUUAAAAUGAUGUAUUCUUACCUAUGUAUUUUAUUAUAUUUAUUUUGUGUGCAUAUGUUCUGAUGUUGUUGUACCCUGCCUUGAACCAUUAGGAGAGGUGAGUAUUAAAAAUGAAAUGUAUUAUUGUUAUGGUUGAGCCUUAUGGCUCCGAUACUGGGAGACGUGGUCGUAAGACUCCUCGGGAGUCAGAUACUCUCGAGGAGCGAGAAAGGAAGCGGCUGCGGGACUUAUUUGCAGAACCAUCUGACGAGGAUUCCUUUGUGGGUUUUACUGAGAGAAUGGAGGAAGAGAUGGUUAGCUCAGAGGAGGAUGACAUGGAAUGGACUCGUGUGAGGGAGGAUUUGGGUGCCACUGGCAAUGAUAGUAUGGAAGGCGAUUGGGGACCUUCAGGAUUAGACCCGUGGACAAGCUGGAGGGAUGGGACGGGAUCCACAGCUGGGGAUGCUGUGGGGCGUAGUCAAAGGUGUUUCAGUUCUGAUGAGGAAAGUGAUGAGGAGACGCUCGGAAUUAGGGGAACAGCUGAUAGCGAUGAGGAGCUGUAAACUGGCAUAAAAUGGGGUUUGGAAGCAAUGGCUAAUUGCGUUGGGCAAGGUAAUCUGGACGAACGCUUGGGCUCUGUGUGGGAAAUUCCUGAAGACGGGUGUGAUUCGUUUGCUGACUACCUUGGACCUCCGUCGUCUUCUUGACGGACGCCAUCUGUUUAUUCUGGACUGACUGACUGACUGACUACGGCCUCGGACUCUCCUUCCUGUGAUUAUCGUUGGACCUGGUGAACUACAAACGUCUGUACCUGCCUUACGACCUUCGGACCGGAUUGGAACUUCGCUGACCGCUUCUGCCCUUGAAUGCUGCGUUUGUAUCUGGAAAUUGCUUGCUGUGUGGAGGAGUAACCUCUUAGUUACUUAAACAUAGCCUUUGGCAGCAGAGAAGCAUCUCCUGUCAGGUUUUUUGUAUUCUUUUGAACUUUUUGUUCACCAGCUUUUGUUUGUUUAAGUCCCAGGCUGAAGUAAGCUUUUUUGGUUUAACCCGGAUUAAACUCCGGUUUAAUCCGGUUUAUCUUUUGAGCGUUUUCCUUGUGUCUUUUUACUUUUAAGGCCAGUGUUUGCCUAGCCCUUGUCUUUUACGGGCAUUUUUGGUUCUGUAACACCAAUAAACUUUGUUAUAUCUUAUCUUGUGGCGUUCUGUCCUUGACAAUUAUUAUUAUUAUUAUUAUUAUUAUUAUUAUUAUUAUUAUUAUUAUUAUUAUUAUUAUUUUAUUAUGACACAGCAAACAAGAUAGAUAUGCUGGAUUUCGUAUCACAAAAUCACAAGUUGAACACUUCCCAAGUGUCUAGGACUGUGUGAUGUAUUUUCGGAUGAUGCGUGCAGAUCCCAGUAGGGUGGCCUUUUGCAGUUGGCAGAUCAUGAUUUUGUCAAUGUCUAUUGUUUCCAAAUGCCGACUGAUAUCUUUUGGCACGGCACCCAAUGUGCCCAUCGACCACCUGCACUGGUUUCUGCCAGAGUCUUUGAAGUUCAAUCUUGAGGUCUGGAUAGCGGCUGAGUUUUUCCUGUUGUUUUUCAGCAAUGCGACUGUCACCUGGGAUGGCGACAUCAAUGAUCCAAACCUUUUUCUUUUCCACAAUUGUGAUGUCUGGUGUGUUGUGUUCCAGAACUUUGUCAGUCUGGAUUCAGAAGUCCCACAGUACCUUUGCGUGCUCAUUUUCCAAUACUUUUGCAGGUUUGUGGUCCCACCAGU